Molecule: ribosomal RNA, 274 nt
Filed under: uncultured bacterium
Lineage: Bacteria
Description: partial 16S ribosomal RNA
Rfam family: Bacterial small subunit ribosomal RNA
Source: RNAcentral
AUACGGAGGGUGCAAGCGUUAAUCGGAAUUACUGGGCGUAAAGCGCGCGUAGGCGGCUAUAUAAGUCGGAUGUGAAAGCCCUGGGCUCAACCUGGGAACUGCAUUCGAUACUGUAUAGCUAGAGUUUGGUAGAGGGAAGUGGAAUUCCACAUGUAGCGGUGAAAUGCGUAGAUAUGUGGAGGAACACCAGUGGCGAAGGCGACUUCCUGGACCAGAACUGACGCUGAGGUGCGAAAGCGUGGGUAGCAAACAGGAUUAGAAACCCCAGUAGUCC